AUUGAACGCUGGCGGCAUGCUUUACACAUGCAAGUCGGACGGCAGCGGGGUAGUGCUUGCACUACUGCCGGCGAGUGGCGAACGGGUGAGUAAUAUAUUGGAACGUACCGAGUAAUGGGGGAUAACCAAUCGAAAGAUUGGCUAAUACCGCAUACGCUCUGAGGAGGAAAGCAGGGGACCUUCGGGCCUUGCGUUAUUCGAGCGGCCAAUAUCUGAUUAGCUAGUUGGUGGGGUAAGGGCCUACCAAGGCGACGAUCAGUAGCGGGUCUGAGAGGAUGACCCGCCACACUGGGACUGAGACACGGCCCAGACUCCUACGGGAGGCAGCAGUGGGGAAUUUUGGACAAUGGGCGCAAGCCUGAUCCAGCCAUGCCGCGUGUCUGAAGAAGGCCUUCGGGUUGUAAAGGACUUUUGUUAGGGAAGAAAAAGGAGCGGUUAAUACCCGUUUCUGCUGACGGUACCUAAAGAAUAAGCACCGGCUAACUACGUG
RNAcentral lists this ribosomal RNA (490 nucleotides) under uncultured bacterium. RNAcentral describes it as "partial 16S ribosomal RNA". It matches the Rfam family "Bacterial small subunit ribosomal RNA", at positions 30 to 507 of the family's 1533-position model. The record is from RNAcentral.